AAAUCAAGCUUCUACACACCUGUCCCACACCUACACAAUCAUUUUUUGCCCCUACACAUCUGUCAAACCAAGCUUCCACACCUGUCAAAUUAAGCCCCUCCACACCUGUCAAACCACUCCCCUCCACACCUGCCAAAUCAAGCUUCUACACACCUGUCCCACUCCUACACAAUCAUUUUUUGCCCCUACAAAUCUGUCAAACCAAGCUUCCACACCUGUCAAAUUAAGCCCCUCCACACCUGUCAAACCACUCCCCUCCACACCUGCCAAAUCAAGCUUCUACACACCUGUCCCACUCCUACAAUUUUUUUUUUCCCCUCCACAUCUGUCAAACCAAGUCACUCCACACCUGUCAAAUUAAGCCCCUCCACACCUGUCAAAGCCUUCCACACCUGCCAGAUCACUCCCUUCCACACCUCCAAAGUCCCCCCAAACCUGCUGUCUCGCUUCUCCACACACCUGACAAACCAUGAUCAGCCAAGUCUCCCUCUCCGCCAUAUUGAAAAACCUCAUAUUUAUUACUUUUUUUGCCUCUUCCCGCUUUCUUUUCACUAUCACAUCUUGACCAAAGUGUUGAUUAGAGUAUAUAGUUUACCUGGACGCCGUGGCAGGUGAAUGAGUGGUGGAAUAGCCUUAAAAAUCACUAAAAUAUGGGGCGGGGUGAAGGACAGGCUGGCCAUUUUGUCCCUCCCUCUCCCAUAACAUUAUUUUAAAACCCCAAUUAUUUCCUUUAUACCUUAUCUACCAUCAAUAUUAUAAAGGUGAGGUGUUGAUUAGAGUA
Molecule: long non-coding RNA, 781 nt
Organism: Eriocheir sinensis (Chinese mitten crab)
Lineage: Eukaryota; Metazoa; Arthropoda; Malacostraca; Decapoda; Varunidae
Exons: 3
Source: RefSeq, a predicted model, not a curated record